Molecule: ribosomal RNA, 430 nt
Filed under: Actinomycetes bacterium
Lineage: Bacteria; Bacillati; Actinomycetota; Actinomycetes
Description: Actinobacteria bacterium partial 16S ribosomal RNA
Rfam family: Bacterial small subunit ribosomal RNA
Source: RNAcentral
UGGGGAAUAUUGGACAAUGGGCGAAAGCCUGAUCCAGCCAUGCCGCGUGUGUGAAGAAGGCCUUUUGGUUGUAAAGCACUUUAAGCGAGGAGGAGGCUACUUAGAUUAAUACUCUAGGAUAGUGGACGUUACUCGCAGAAUAAGCACCGGCUAACUCUGUGCCAGCAGCCGCGGUAAUACAGAGGGUGCGAGCGUUAAUCGGAUUUACUGGGCGUAAAGCGUGCGUAGGCGGCUUCUUAAGUCGGAUGUGAAAUCCCUGAGCUUAACUUAGGAAUUGCAUUCGAUACUGGGAAGCUAGAGUAUGGGAGAGGAUGGUAGAAUUCCAGGUGUAGCAGUGAAAUGCGUAGAGAUCUGGAGGAAUACCGAUGGCGAAGGCAGCCAUCUGGCCUAAUACUGACGCUGAGGUACGAAAGCAUGGGGAGCAAACAGG